This 200-nucleotide ribosomal RNA is filed under the name uncultured bacterium. RNAcentral's name for it is "partial 16S ribosomal RNA". It matches the Rfam family "Bacterial small subunit ribosomal RNA", at positions 28 to 227 of the family's 1533-position model. The record is from RNAcentral.
GAUGAACGCUAGCGGCAGGCCUAAUACAUGCAAGUCGAACGAUACCAAGGAGCUUGCUCUUUGGGAAAGUGGCGCACGGGUGCGUAACGCGUAUGCAACCUACCUUAAUCAGGGGGAUAGCCCGAAGAAAUUCGGAUUAACACCGCAUAAAAACACAGUACAGCAUUGUACAAUGUUCAAAUAUUUAUAGGAUUAAGAUG